RNAcentral lists this ribosomal RNA (1133 nucleotides) under Priestia megaterium. Its description in RNAcentral is "bacterial SSU rRNA". It matches the Rfam family "Bacterial small subunit ribosomal RNA", at positions 55 to 1202 of the family's 1533-position model. Lineage: Bacteria; Bacillati; Bacillota; Bacilli; Caryophanales; Bacillaceae. The record is from RNAcentral.
AUGAUUUGUUGCGAACUAGAUUAGAAGCUUGCUUCUAUGACAGUUAGCGGCGGACGGGUGAGUAACACGUGGGCAACCUGCCUGUAAGACUGGGAUAACUUCGGGAAACCGAAGCUAAUACCGGAUAGGAUCUUCUCCUUCAUGGGAGAUGAUUGAAAGAUGGUUUCGGCUAUCACUUACAGAUGGGCCCGCGGUGCAUUAGCUAGUUGGUGAGGUAACGGCUCACCAAGGCAACGAUGCAUAGCCGACCUGAGAGGGUGAUCGGCCACACUGGGACUGAGACACGGCCCAGACUCCUACGGGAGGCAGCAGUAGGGAAUCUUCCGCAAUGGACGAAAGUCUGACGGAGCAACGCCGCGUGAGUGAUGAAGGCUUUCGGGUCGUAAAACUCUGUUGUUAGGGAAGAACAAGUACGAGAGUAACUGCUUGUACCUUGACGGUACCUAACCAGAAAGCCACGGCUAACUACGUGCCAGCAGCCGCGGUAAUACGUAGGUGGCAAGCGUUAUCCGGAAUUAUUGGGCGUAAAGCGCGCGCAGGCGGUUUCUUAAGUCUGAUGUGAAAGCCCACGGCUCAACCGUGGAGGGUCAUUGGAAACUGGGGAACUUGAGUGCAGAAGAGAAAAGCGGAAUUCCACGUGUAGCGGUGAAAUGCGUAGAGAUGUGGAGGAACACCAGUGGCGAAGGCGGCUUUUUGGUCUGUAACUGACGCUGAGGCGCGAAAGCGUGGGGAGCAAACAGGAUUAGAUACCCUGGUAGUCCACGCCGUAAACGAUGAGUGCUAAGUGUUAGAGGGUUUCCGCCCUUUAGUGCUGCAGCUAACGCAUUAAGCACUCCGCCUGGGGAGUACGGUCGCAAGACUGAAACUCAAAGGAAUUGACGGGGGCCCGCACAAGCGGUGGAGCAUGUGGUUUAAUUCGAACAACGCGAAGAACCUUACAUGUCUUGACAUCCUCUGACACUCUAGAGAUAGAGCGUUCCCUUCGGGGACAGAGUGACAGUGUGCAUGUGUCGUCAGCUCGUGUCAGAAGUGGGUAAAUCCGCAACAGCUCACCUGACUAGUGCCGCAUUAAUUGGCACUCUAGUGACUGCUGCGACAACCGAGGAAGUAGGGAUGACGUCAUCCAUCUGUCU